GAGCACGUAGGUGGGUUUGUAAGUCAGAUGUGAAAGCCUUCUGUUCAACGGAAGAAUUGCAUCUGAAACUGCAAACCUUGAGUGUAGGAGGGGAGAAUGGAACUUCUGGUGGAGCGGUGAAAUGCGUAGAUAUCAGAAGGAACGCCGGCGGCGAAAGCGAUUCUCUGGCCUAUUACUGACACUCAGUGUGCGAAAGCUAGGGGAGCAAACGGGAUUAGAUACCCCGGUAGUCCUAGCCGUAAACGAUGGGCACUAAGUAGAGGGGUUUU
This 269-nucleotide ribosomal RNA is filed under the name uncultured bacterium. RNAcentral describes it as "partial 16S ribosomal RNA". It matches the Rfam family "Bacterial small subunit ribosomal RNA", at positions 565 to 832 of the family's 1533-position model. The record is from RNAcentral.